GACGAACGCUGGCGGCGUGCCUAAUACAUGCAAGUUGAGCGCUGAAGGUUGGUACUUGUACCAACUGGAUGAGCAGCGAACGGGUGAGUAACGCGUGGGGAAUCUGCCUUUGAGCGGGGGACAGCAUUUGGAAACGAAUGCUAAUACCGCAUAAAAACUUUAAACACAAGUUUUAAGUUUGAAAGAUGCAAUUGCAUCACUCAAAGAUGAUCCCGCGUUGUAUUAGCUAGUUGGUGAGGUAAAGGCUCACCAAGGCGAUGAUACAUAGCCGACCUGAGAGGGUGAUCGGCCACAUUGGGACUGAGACACGGCCCAAACUCCUACGGGAGGCAGCAGUAGGGAAUCUUCGGCAAUGGACGAAAGUCUGACCGAGCAACGCCGCGUGAGUGAAGAAGGUUGUCGGAUCGUAAAACUCUGUUGGUAGAGAAGAACGUUGGUGAGAGUGGAAAGCUCAUCAAGUGACGGUAACUACCCAGAAAGGGACGGCUAACUACGUG
RNAcentral lists this ribosomal RNA (497 nucleotides) under uncultured bacterium. RNAcentral describes it as "partial 16S ribosomal RNA". It matches the Rfam family "Bacterial small subunit ribosomal RNA", at positions 28 to 507 of the family's 1533-position model. The record is from RNAcentral.